GAAAAGAAAAGAAGAAAACUAAG
RNAcentral lists this small RNA (23 nucleotides) under Arabidopsis thaliana (thale cress). Its description in RNAcentral is "ATSL222100". Lineage: Eukaryota; Viridiplantae; Streptophyta; Magnoliopsida; Brassicales; Brassicaceae. The record is from RNAcentral.